GACGAACGCUGGCGGCAUGCCUAACACAUGCAAGUCGAACGGAAAGACCCCUUUGGGUGUACUCGAGUGGCGAACGGGUGAGUAACAUGUGAGUAACCUGCCCUUGACUUCGGGAUAACUUUACGAAACCGGGGCUAAUUCCGGAUAGGAAUCCUUGCUGCAUGGUGGGGGUUCGAAAGCUUCGGCGGUUUUGGAUGAGCUCGCGGCUUAUCAGCUUGUUGGUGGGGUAGUGGCUUACCAAGGCUUUGACGCGUAGCUGGACUGAGAGGGCGACCGGCCACAUUGAGACUGAGAGACGGCCCAGACUCCUACGGGUGGCAGCAGUGGGGAAUAUUGAACAAGGGGCGGAGGCCUGAUGCAGAAACGCCGCGGGCGGGAUAACGGCCUUCGGGUUGUAGACGGAUAGCAGCAGGAGCGAAGCUUGUGGUGACGGUACCUGCAGAAGAAGCACCGGCUAACUACGUG
Molecule: ribosomal RNA, 465 nt
Filed under: uncultured bacterium
Lineage: Bacteria
Description: partial 16S ribosomal RNA
Rfam family: Bacterial small subunit ribosomal RNA
Source: RNAcentral